CAAAGAAUAGUUAAAUUUUUAGAAUCCUAGCUUUGGGAGUUAGGGGUGGGGGUUAAAAUCCCUCUUCUUUGA
This 72-nucleotide transfer RNA is filed under the name Omobranchus fasciolatoceps. RNAcentral's name for it is "tRNA-Pro". It matches the Rfam family "tRNA". Rfam says of the family: Transfer RNA (tRNA) molecules are approximately 80 nucleotides in length. Their secondary structure includes four short double-helical elements and three loops (D, anti-codon, and T loops). Lineage: Eukaryota; Metazoa; Chordata; Actinopteri; Blenniiformes; Blenniidae. The record is from RNAcentral.